RNAcentral lists this ribosomal RNA (453 nucleotides) under Triticum aestivum (bread wheat). Its description in RNAcentral is "partial small subunit ribosomal RNA". The record is from RNAcentral. Lineage: Eukaryota; Viridiplantae; Streptophyta; Magnoliopsida; Poales; Poaceae.
AUGGCGGGGCCACGAGCAGUAGGUGGCGGCAGCAAUGAACAGCAGCAGGGGGAGCUGCAGCCGGAGGCGGGUGAGGGGAACGGCGACCACGGGCGUGCGCGGCUAGCAGCGGUGAGGGAGGAGGCGUGCGGGCACACGCGCAAGCGGGAGGCACCAGGUGGCGCGGCAGCGGCAGACGCGGCUGUGGCGCAAGGCAGCAGCAGGCGCGGGAGCGAGGGGGGCGCUGGACGAGCAGGAAACGGCCACAGGGGCUCACAGGCAAGUGGCAGGGGCGCGCGCGGCCAUGGGCGUGAGCGGACGUGGCCAGGGGGGCGCGGACGCACGGAGCUCCGGGCGAGCUCGGGGCGGCGGCUACGGCGGGAAUUUGUGGAAGGGGAGAGGGGAAUGGACAUGGAGCUCACCAGAAAGCUCGGUGGUGGUCUCGGGGAAGCGCUGGGUGGACCGGAGCAGUAG